AUUAUUCGAUUAAACUUGUUAAUCUAUGGUUCAAAAUUUAAGGAAAUUUAAAAAUAGAGAAUACCGGUAUUCAUAUGGAAGGAAUUUAAAGUGUGACGUGCUCUUCUCGUUUUUCUCGAUGGCAUUCCGGUAGUUUCAACCCGAUAUGAAAUCGGUUGUAUUUGAUAAGUUUAAGUAGCUCAAGGUUAUACAAGUAAUGGAUGCAGUCAAUUCACUGUUGUCAAACAAGAGGGAGAGAGCCAACGAUUCGCCCCUCAGAUAAUUUCAAGAAUUUUGAUUUUAAGGGACAAGCUUUACUAUGUGUCAGUGCAAUAAAUGGUGCCCUACACA
Megachile rotundata (alfalfa leafcutting bee) is the source of this 330-nucleotide long non-coding RNA. RefSeq lists it as uncharacterized. Lineage: Eukaryota; Metazoa; Arthropoda; Insecta; Hymenoptera; Megachilidae. The record is from RefSeq and is a predicted model, not a curated record.